GCAUAAUCAUUUGCCUCUUAAUUGGAGGCUGGAAUGAAUGGAUAUACGAGGUUUAAGCUGUCUCUUCUUUAGGACUAAAAAUUGGCUUUCAGGUGAAGAGACCUGGAUAUUAGUAUAGGACAAAAAGACCCUAUUGAGCUUUAUUUAAGAGAAAUUUUUCUGGAAUAAUUUACUUAAUAAUUUUUAUUAAAUUUGGUUGGGGCAACAAAGAAAUAUAUAAAUUUUUCUUUAUUUAUUAGAAUUGUGUUUCGUUUAAAUGAUCUAUUACGAUGAUAUAAAGAAAGAGUUACCAUAGGGAUAACAGGCUAAUUCUUUUGUAGAGUUCAAAUUGAUAAAAGAGUUUGGCACCUCGAUGUUGGCUUAGGAUAUCCUAUAGGUGCAGAAGUCUAUAAGGGU
Molecule: ribosomal RNA, 396 nt
Filed under: Eteone pacifica
Lineage: Eukaryota; Metazoa; Annelida; Polychaeta; Phyllodocida; Phyllodocidae
Description: partial 16S ribosomal RNA
Rfam family: Bacterial large subunit ribosomal RNA
Source: RNAcentral